AUUGAACGCUGGCGGCAUGCUUUACACAUGCAAGUCGAACGGCAGCGCGGGCUUCGGCCUGGCGGCGAGUGGCGAACGGGUGAGUAAUACAUCGGAACGUGCCCAGUAGUGGGGGAUAGCUCGGCGAAAGCCGGAUUAAUACCGCAUACGACCUGAGGGUGAAAGCGGGGGAUCUUCGGACCUCGCGCUAUUGGAGCGGCCGAUGGCAGAUUAGCUAGUUGGUGGGGUAAAGGCCUACCAAGGCGACGAUCUGUAGCUGGUCUGAGAGGACGACCAGCCACACUGGGACUGAGACACGGCCCAGACUCCUACGGGAGGCAGCAGUGGGGAAUUUUGGGCAAUGGGCGAAAGCCUGAUCCAGCAAUGCCGCGUGUGUGAUGAAGGCCUUCGGAUUGUAAAGCACUUUUGGCGGGAACGAAAAUGACUGUGCCAAUACCACGGUUCGAUGACGGUACCCGCAGAAUAAGCACCGGCUAACUACGUG
This 484-nucleotide ribosomal RNA is filed under the name uncultured bacterium. Its description in RNAcentral is "partial 16S ribosomal RNA". It matches the Rfam family "Bacterial small subunit ribosomal RNA", at positions 29 to 507 of the family's 1533-position model. The record is from RNAcentral.